Molecule: ribosomal RNA, 279 nt
Filed under: uncultured bacterium
Lineage: Bacteria
Description: partial 16S ribosomal RNA
Rfam family: Bacterial small subunit ribosomal RNA
Source: RNAcentral
UGCCAGCCGCCGCGGUAAUACGAAGGGUGCUAGCGUUGUUCGAAAUUACUGGGCGUAAAGAGUAUGUAGACGGUUUUUUAAGUUAAAAAUGAAAGCCCAAAGCUUAACUUUGGAAAUGUUUUUAAUACUGAUUAACUUGAGUUAGAUAGAGGAUAAUGGAAUUUCUAGUGUAGAAGUGGAAUUUGUAAAUAUUAGAAGGACCUCCAGUAGCGAAGGCGAUUAUCUGGGUCUAUACUGACGUUGAGAUACGAAAGCAUGGGGAGCAAACAGGAUUAGAUA